This is a long non-coding RNA of Passer domesticus (house sparrow), 1325 nucleotides long. RefSeq lists it as uncharacterized. The record is from RefSeq and is a predicted model, not a curated record. Lineage: Eukaryota; Metazoa; Chordata; Aves; Passeriformes; Passeridae. The transcript has 2 exons.
GAUAAAAAAAAGGCCUCAUAAAAGCAGGCCUGCGCUGUUAUUCCAGUGGCUGGCCUGGUCAGGCUAGCCCUUUGCAAGAUGCCAUGUGAAAGCAAUCCUGGUGUGAGCAGCUGGUUAACAUAACAAUCUAGUCCUGGGUGAGAAACAACCAGCACCUGUAUAAACUGGUUUUACACUGUUAGAUAGUUUCCAUUUUUCUGUCUCUCACUGAUAACCUUCCCUGCACAUCCACACGGGAGGUUUGAGUGACCAAUAAAUACAGGGUAACAACUUGUUACUAAUCAAUAUGUAAUUGGCAAGAAAGCUACUGACAGAGUCACGCAUGAGGCCUGUAAAAUUGUAUAAAAAGGAGUAAUGUGAAUAAAGAAGGGGCUUUUUCCACCAUGAAGAAAAUGGUGAUUUAUUCCCACAUGUGAUUUAUUCCACAGGUGACACCAAGCUGAGGGUGCAGGGACACCCCCGAGGGAUGGGGCCAUCCAGAGGGCUUUAGGUUUUCCUCUGGAAUCUGUGAAACUGAGAACAGUGCCUGCAACCACGUCCUGAUUGAAGCUCUCCAUUGACAAACUCUCACUUUUAAACUCUCACAGUGUCAUUUGACGUGGGAUCAAUGCUUGUCAGAGAAAUUUAUAAAUAGAAAGCAAUUUUAGCUCUGUCUUUGUAGUCCAGCUCGUGUGAGAAACUCUGAGCUUCUGGACAAGACUGACUGCUCAGCAUGUUUUGGUGAGGCAUCACUUCCAGAGCAGAGAGCCUCCCAAGUUUAGAGCCAGCUCAGCCACAUGCUGCAGGCAGCAGCUGAAGAAUGAAUUUUUGUGCCUCCCUCUAACUGAAGACACAAUUGACAGAGGCAAAAAGGGAGGAAAUUUUAAAAUGUUUCUUUUUUAAACACACGAGCUGUCCCCUAUUGUAUUCUCCUCUCCUCUUCUUGUUGCAAUUAUUUCUGCAAAUAUAGCACCAGGCUUUGGGACUUGGAAGAGCACUUGAAGUUUCAUUGAUUUUCAUCUACAAGAGGCAUAAUCACCCAUGAAGUAACAGAAAACCCUUGAGGAAAAGCUUAGAGAUCAGCAAUGAGAAAAACACUAAAAAUUAUUAAACACCUUGUUAAUAUAAUUGGAGAUGAAUCUACAAUACCUGAAUAUUCUCUGUUUAUUUCUCAUUUCUGUUUCUUUUAACAUCUUGUUUAAUUUAUAUUUCCAUAAGGCUACUCGCUAUCAUAUUCUUUAUAAAAUAUAUGUUACAAAAACCCUCAAACCAAUAUAUACAAUUUCUUUUUGCUGAGUAGUGACCAGAGAAUACACAUCAUUAAAACAACCUUUCUACCAGCUGUA